UGAAUCACUGUUCCCAUUGGAUCACCGAAGUUAAGCAACGUCGAGCCUGGUCAGUAUCUAGAUGAGUGACUGUUUGGGAAUACCAGGUGCU
Non-coding RNA from Acanthosepion pharaonis, 91 nucleotides. The record is from the annotation of a GenBank genome assembly. NCBI's taxonomy places the organism in Eukaryota, Metazoa, Mollusca, Cephalopoda, Sepiida, Sepiidae.